RNAcentral lists this ribosomal RNA (233 nucleotides) under uncultured bacterium. RNAcentral's name for it is "partial 16S ribosomal RNA". It matches the Rfam family "Bacterial small subunit ribosomal RNA", at positions 334 to 563 of the family's 1533-position model. The record is from RNAcentral.
AACGUCCUACGGGGGGCAGCAGUGAGGAAUAUUGGUCAAUGGACGAGAGUCUGAACCAGCCAAGUAGCGUGAAGGAUGACUGCCCUAUGGGUUGUAAACUUCUUUUAUAUGGGAAUAAAGUGAGCCACGUGUGGCUUUUUGUAUGUACCAUACGAAAAAGCAUCGGCUAACUCCGUGCCAGCAGCCGCGGUAAUAUGGAGGAUGCGAGCGUUAUCCGGAUUUAUUGGUUUUAA